AAUGCGGGCCGGGCGCGCUCGCGGGUGUUCGCUGUGCGGUAUGCCGACGUCUCCGUGAGACCUGAGGUUCUGCCCUGGAAAACGUGGAGGGGAGUUCUUUAAGCCGCCCGGAACCGGGGAGGAUCCCAUGUGAGAGCCCACAUUCCGACGGCCAAGUCUCCUUAGACUCCCCUUGGCCGUGACAGUUUCUCAAGACUUUCCUGGGUUUUGAUGACCUUGACGGUUUUGAGGAGUACGGGUCAGGUAUUUUGUAUAAUGUCCCUCAAUUUGGGGAUCUGGCUGUUUUUCUGGGGUGAAGACUUUUCACUGUAAGCCUUUGAAUAGUUAUUUUUUAGAUGUCUGAAUUAUGUUAAUCUAUAACCUAUUUAUGUUAAUCUAUAACCUAUUAUGUUCAUCUAUAACCUAUUUAAAUGUUUAAAUAGGUUAAUGGAAAAGACAAACUGCAGGAGUUCAGGAAGGAGGAAGGGGAGGCAAAGGAAGAAGGGAAGGGGAGAGGUGAAGAGGAGGGGAAGAGGAGGAGGCGGAGGGGCAGGCUGCCGCUGGGGACUUGGCCCAUGCAGCCCUGGGCCGGUCGGCGCCGUCACCUCCCGGCCGGCCGAGCCCCGCGGCCGCCAGGGGACGCUGUGCGGAGAGGUGGCGGCCGCCCAGCGCGGUUCCGGCCCGGCCGCGGCUACUCCAGUGGGACUGGGGUCACAGGGCGCCACCACCGCAAGCAGGGCGCCAGGCUGGCCCCGACGCUGAGGGGCCGCCGACACGCAGACCUUUUAUGGAAGGUGCAGGGCGCAUGAGUUGGGGGCGGUGGGGGCACACGGUGCGAAUAUCUCGCUCCAUAAAGUGCCUCCUCCAUCUUUUAAAUACACGUGCCACCAAUUUGUAAAGACUUCCCUGAGCCUCUGAGGACCACGACACCGCACACACCCCACACACAUGCUUCUUUAACAGCCUGGAUGAGGCCCGCGUGGCACCUCUCAGAUGCUCUGGGGGCGACCAGGGGCCGGGUGCGCCCCGAUUGAGUCCGGAGUAAAAGGUGGUCAGUGCCACAUGCCAGCAGGGUGGCAGGCGAGGGAGUGGGGCUGCAUACAGAGGGUCCUGCGGAGUCACAGUGAGUGACCGAGGCCGAGGACUGGCAGCCAAGGGUUUCAGGCCGCGCCUGCGCAGGAGCCGCCACAAGCAGCCCAUGCGACCUCUGGGCCUUUGCACCGGCUGUACCCACUGGCACGCCCUGCCGCCCCUCAGGCCGCUUUGUUGUGACGCGGAGAUCUUCCUUGGCCUUCAUCAGCCAGGUCAGAGGACACCUCCUCGCCGAAACCCUGAUCCUCCUUUCCUUCCGCAUCUGCCUCCUUCCCCACCCUCCUCCAGAGGCUGAAAGCUGUCCUUCCUCCCGCUCAGCGCUGCCCCCUGGAGGCUCCUUUAGUCCCACUGCCCCAACAGCAUGAAAGGUUGGGUACGGUUGCCAGUCACUUCACCUACGCGCAAACGCAAAUUCAGAGAGAUCAGGCGUCCUGUCCAAGUUCCAACCAUCACCCUCCCUCCCGCUCAGCAGUUUCCCAACGUUUUUCCCCACACGCAUCUUCUAAAAUUAUUUUGAAAAACAUAUGUGUACCUCCUCUUUUAGCUGAUAUCUAAACUUUCUCAUUAUAAGUUAAAACGGUUGCAAAGGAUGUAAUUUCCAGUAUGUUGUAAAUGCUGAUUUAAAAAAAAAAAGAGUAGAUGACAUUUUUAAAUGUGCCCAAUGAAAUCUAAAUGCUCUACGGAUUCCAUACAAACCAUAAUCUAUUUUUAAUAGACAUGAAUAAACCCUCUAACAUUUGGAAAGUUUACAUUUAAUUUCCCCUUUGAACUCAUAUUUCCAUUCUUCUCUCCCUACAAAAUUUUAUCCUCUUAUUUUUUAUCCUCAUAUAAUACGUAUUUUAUGUUUGAAUGCUUUUAUUGGUCACCUAGCCUGCCUCUCAGCAGCAAAAAUAUGUGCAAAAGUUGAAAUUUUUUUUGUUUUCUGUUACCAUAAGGCUCUAAGUGUCAAAAUUUCUUCUAGAUGAACAUUUUACUUUUAUUCGUACACAAUAAAAAAUCAUAAAUAUAUUUACAGAUUUGAAGAAUGAUUAUUAAAUGGAAAAUGUCAAAAAUGAAUAUCCAUGAUAUGGCUGUGACUUUUUUAUCCCUCUUAGUUCAUGUCUGGGGGGACAACUGUUACUUUUUGCUAGAAUGAGAUGGGGUUCAGCAUUAAUUCUAUUCCUGUUUUUCCUAUUUAGAGAUAUCAAGUCUGAGAAACCUUCACAUGAAGAAGUAAAAAAGAAUGGAAAAAGUUUUGUUGCAGCACCAAAACAAUCUCUUAGACACAUUUCAAGUUAUAUACUAAGAAUCACUUAUCAGAAAUUACUCUCAUCAAUCUAUCAGCAUGGUUAGGUCCUCUUUCAGUUUUGAAUCGGAAGCCACAAUAAUUAAGUGACAGCAGCCCAGGAGACCAAGCCACACCCAGCAAGCACAUGUAAAGUCCCUGCCGUGGGUAUGUCCAUCACAAUUCCAUUGGCACACGCAAGUCGCAUGGCCAAGUUCAACAUCACUGGGGCAGUGGGAGAGGGGGUAGAGUCCCAGGACAAAGGAAGGGAGGAAAGAGUUGAGAACAGUAAUGCAAUGUACCACCCGUACACAAGUCCCCGCAACCCACCCUCACCCUUAAUCCCCGUGAGAAGUCUUCCUAAGCACAAAUAGGAAAAUAAACGCUUGGGUUUUAGGUAUGUAAAUGGGAUCCUGCUGUACUUACAGUUCUGUGACUUACUUUUUCC
Non-coding RNA from Microcebus murinus (gray mouse lemur), 2783 nucleotides. The record is from RefSeq and is a predicted model, not a curated record. NCBI's taxonomy places the organism in Eukaryota, Metazoa, Chordata, Mammalia, Primates, Cheirogaleidae.